GAUGAACGCUGGCGGCGUGCUUAACACAUGCAAGUCGAGCGAAGCACUUAGGAAAGAUUCUUCGGAUGAUUUCCUUUGUGACUGAGCGGCGGACGGGUGAGUAACGCGUGGGUAACCUGCCUCAUACAGGGGGAUAACAGUUAGAAAUGACUGCUAAUACCGCAUAAGACCACGGUACCGCAUGGUACAGUGGUAAAAACUCCGGUGGUAUGAGAUGGACCCGCGUCUGAUUAGGUAGUUGGUGGGGUAACGGCCUACCAAGCCGACGAUCAGUAGCCGACCUGAGAGGGUGACCGGCCACAUUGGGACUGAGACACGGCCCAGACUCCUACGGGAGGCAGCAGUGGGGAAUAUUGCACAAUGGAGGAAACUCUGAUGCAGCGACGCCGCGUGAAGGAUGAAGUAUUUCGGUAUGUAAACUUCUAUCAGCAGGGAAGAAAAUGACGGUACCUGACUAAGAAGCCC
RNAcentral lists this ribosomal RNA (465 nucleotides) under uncultured bacterium. Its description in RNAcentral is "bacterial SSU rRNA". It matches the Rfam family "Bacterial small subunit ribosomal RNA", at positions 28 to 493 of the family's 1533-position model. The record is from RNAcentral.